Molecule: ribosomal RNA, 451 nt
Filed under: uncultured bacterium
Lineage: Bacteria
Description: partial 16S ribosomal RNA
Rfam family: Bacterial small subunit ribosomal RNA
Source: RNAcentral
GUGGGGAAUAUUGCGCAAUGGGGGAAACCCUGACGCAGCGACGCCGUGUGAGGGAAGAAGGCUUUCGGGUCGUAAACCUCUGUCAGAAAGGAAGAACCUCCCAAGUCCGAAUAGGGCUUGGGACUGACGGUACUUUCAAAGGAAGCACCGGCUAACUCCGUGCCAGCAGCCGCGGUAAUACGGAGGGUGCAAGCGUUAAUCGGAAUCACUGGGCGUAAAGCGCGCGUAGGCCGCUUUGUAAGUCGGACGUGAAAGCCCUCGGCUCAACGAGGGAACUGCGUUCGAUACUGCGAGGCUUGAGUCCUGGAGAGGGUGGCGGAAUUCCGGGUGUAGGAGUGAAAUCCGUAGAUAUCCGGAGGAACACCGGUGGCGAAGGCGGCCACCUGGACAGGUACUGACGCUGAGGCGCGAAAGCGUGGGGAGCAAACAGGAUUAGAAACCCGAGUAGUCC